AUUGAACGCUGGCGGCAGGCCUAACACAUGCAAGUCGAGCGGAUGAAGGGAGCUUGCUCCUGGAUUCAGCGGCGGACGGGUGAGUAAUGCCUAGGAAUCUGCCUGGUAGUGGGGGAUAACGUCCGGGAACGGGCGCUAAUACCGCAUACGUCCUGAGGGAGAAAGUGGGGGAUCUUCGGACCUCACGCUAUCAGAUGAGCCUAGGUCGGAUUAGCUAGUUGGUGGGGUAAAGGCCUACCAAGGCGACGAUCCGUAACUGGUCUGAGAGGAUGAUCAGUCACACUGGAACUGAGACACGGUCCAGACUCCUACGGGAGGCAGCAGUGGGGAAUAUUGGACAAUGGGCGAAAGCCUGAUCCAGCCAUGCCGCGUGUGUGAAGAAGGUCUUCGGAUUGUAAAGCACUCUAAGUUGGGAGGAAGGGCAGUAAGUUAAUACCUUGCUGUUUUGACGUUACCAACAGAAUAAGCACCGGCUAACUUCGUG
Molecule: ribosomal RNA, 484 nt
Filed under: uncultured bacterium
Lineage: Bacteria
Description: partial 16S ribosomal RNA
Rfam family: Bacterial small subunit ribosomal RNA
Source: RNAcentral